Molecule: long non-coding RNA, 526 nt
Organism: Homo sapiens (human)
Lineage: Eukaryota; Metazoa; Chordata; Mammalia; Primates; Hominidae
Product: long intergenic non-protein coding RNA 2198
Source: Ensembl
UUUUGAGCAGCAAGUCCCAAGAUCAAGAAAUCAGAAGGAACUAAUACUUUAACUAAUUAGUAGUAAUGAAAAUUUACUAGACAUCAAUGACAAAUUUACAAGGCAAAUUUAUUUCCAAAGUACAUUCAUAUAUAUCACAGUCUUUGCUACAGCAGUGUGUUCCUCUCAAGUCACCCACUCGUUCCUCCAGGGGUCAUUGGAGAGUUAUUAUUUUAAGUCUAGUUCCCAGGUAUGACUUCCAAUGCAGUGAAAGCUUCUACUGAGACUGUCUAAAACAUCUCUUGAAUCAUCUGCCUAGAACACAGCAAGAACCAGGAAAUGAGCUGACAAGACUGAGCAAAAGAGGCAGCAUCAAGCUGAUGAACUGAGGCGUGGGCAUUUUACUCAUGGGAAAGGCCCUCGGAACCCACGCUGAGCAUGCGCUGAAAACAAGUGUGAUCAGUGGGUUCCAAACACCCAGCAGAUACAUGUGAGGGUGAUCUGGCUGUGACUUCUGUCACCCCCUUGAUUACCAGGGUUGAUUCAG